AGAGACAAAGGUCCUGCCGGAAGAUAGCCUAGAGGCUGAGAUGACCUCCAAGUCUCAAAAAAAUUUUAGAGAUGAGAAAACUGAGGCCCAGAGAGACAGCUGGUCCAAGGUUACAGGAUACAAGUGGAACCCAGAGUACUCAAGGUACUGGCAUUGCCAAGAGAAUACAGGCUGGGAAAGGGAAAUGGAAAUCAAAUACAUAUUCAGUGUCCAUUCUGAUCAGGGCAACUCCCAGCAUCAUCUCAUCAAAUCUUCAUGGAUGGCUUGCUGGAAGGAUGGCUGAUGGGGAGCAGGUGUGGAAAGCAUCUGACCGAGAGUGAAUUCAAACAGAGGAAAGUAGACUCAUGAGACAGAAAGAGAAACAGAGCAAGUCCUGACAACGUGGAUGGAACACCUGGAUCCAGCUGACCUAAAACCAGUACUCUGCUGGACUUUCCAGUUAAGUCCAUUUGACACGGGCUUCUAUCACCACAUCCAUAUCUCCAGUGCCCAACACAGGGCCUGGCAUAGUAUGGACACUUUGAAAAUGUAGAAUGAAUGACGAACCUAUUCAAUUCCACAACUCUACAGCAGAAAUAGAUAUAAUCAUUCCACUGCAUAGAUGAGAGAACUACUGAGGUGGUCUAUACAUCCUUAUCUUGAAAAUAAUUUCCCAUCAAGAAUUUUCAACUAUUGACAACAGUUUUAGAAAACAUUACUGCCUCAGACUAAGACUCUUUGGUGUUGGUUGGUAAGCCCUAUGUUAAUCCUCCCAGUCCCAGUGAAGGAGGCACUUCCCUCAGUCCCUAGAAAACCCAAGGGCAGGGUGGGGUUGUGGGCUCAGGGAAGCUGAGGCUGAUCCUGGGUCUCCACCAAACCUGGGAGGGACAGGACAGGCCCCUGUACAGGUUGGCACCAGCCCUGGGGAACCCAAAGUUACCUCUCUCAAUUACAGACAGAACAUUUCUAUCACCUCAGCAGGUUCUUCCUGCCGCAUCCCAAUCAAGCUCUCCCAUUCCAACAACCACUGAUCUGAUUCCUACCACCAGAGAUAUGCAAAGCCAGUAGAUGAAGGUGAUAUCAGAGAUGGAUCUACUCAAGACUUUUUGUUUCACCAAUUCUUAAGUUAUUCAUUUAUUC
Molecule: long non-coding RNA, 1119 nt
Organism: Molossus molossus (Pallas's mastiff bat)
Lineage: Eukaryota; Metazoa; Chordata; Mammalia; Chiroptera; Molossidae
Exons: 4
Source: RefSeq, a predicted model, not a curated record